RNAcentral lists this ribosomal RNA (1347 nucleotides) under uncultured bacterium. RNAcentral describes it as "partial 16S ribosomal RNA". It matches the Rfam family "Bacterial small subunit ribosomal RNA", at positions 28 to 1381 of the family's 1533-position model. The record is from RNAcentral.
GACGAACGCUGGCGGCGCUGCUUAACACAUGCAAGUCGAACGGAAAGGCCCUGCUUUUGUGGGGUGCUCGAGUGGCAAACGGGUGAGUAACACGUGAGUAACCUGCCCUUGACUUUGGGAUAACUUCAGGAAACUGGGGCUAAUACCGGAUAGGAGCUCCUGCUGCAUGGUGGGGGUUGGAAAGUUUCGGCGGUUGGGGAUGGACUCGCGGCUUAUCAGCUUGUUGGUGGGGUAGUGGCUUACCAAGGCUUUGACGGGUAGCCGGCCUGAGAGGGUGACCGGCCACAUUGGGACUGAGAUACGGCCCAGACUCCUACGGGAGGCAGCAGUGGGGAAUAUUGCACAAUGGGCGGAAGCCUGAUGCAGCAACGCCGCGUGCGGGAUGACGGCCUUCGGGUUGUAAACCGCUUUCGCCUGUGACGAAGCGUGAGUGACGGUAAUGGGUAAAGAAGCACCGGCUAACUACGUGCCAGCAGCCGCGGUGAUACGUAGGGUGCGAGCGUUGUCCGGAUUUAUUGGGCGUAAAGGGCUCGUAGGUGGUUGAUCGCGUCGGAAGUGUAAUCUUGGGGCUUAACCCUGAGCGUGCUUUCGAUACGGGUUGACUUGAGGAAGGUAGGGGAGAAUGGAAUUCCUGGUGGAGCGGUGGAAUGCGCAGAUAUCAGGAGGAACACCAGUGGCGAAGGCGGUUCUCUGGGCCUUUCCUGACGCUGAGGAGCGAAAGCGUGGGGAGCGAACAGGCUUAGAUACCCUGGUAGUCCACGCUGUAAACGGUGGGUACUAGGUGUGGGGUCCAUUCCACGGGUUCCGUGCCGUAGCUAACGCUUUAAGUACCCCGCCUGGGGAGUACGGCCGCAAGGCUAAAACUCAAAGGAAUUGACGGGGCCCCGCACAAGCGGCGGAGCAUGCGGAUUAAUUCGAUGCAACGCGUAGAACCUUACCUGGGUUUGACAUGGAUCGGGAGUGCUCAGAGAUGGGUGUGCCUCUUUUGGGGUCGGUUCACAGGUGGUGCAUGGCUGUCGUCAGCUCGUGUCGUGAGAUGUUGGGUUAAGUCCCGCAACGAGCGCAACCCUUGUUCACUGUUGCCAGCACGUUAUGGUGGGGACUCAGUGGAGACCGCCGGGGUCAACUCGGAGGAAGGUGGGGAUGACGUCAAGUCAUCAUGCCCCUUAUGUCCAGGGCUUCACGCAUGCUACAAUGGCUGGUACAGAGAGUGGCGAGCCUGUGAGGGUGAGCGAAUCUCGGAAAGUCGGUCUCAGUUCGGAUUGGGGUCUGCAACUCGACCUCAUGAAGUCGGAGUCGCUAGUAAUCGCAGAUCAGCAACGCUGCGGUGAAUACGUUCCCGGGGCU